This is a non-coding RNA of Microcebus murinus (gray mouse lemur), 1572 nucleotides long. The record is from RefSeq and is a predicted model, not a curated record. Lineage: Eukaryota; Metazoa; Chordata; Mammalia; Primates; Cheirogaleidae.
GGAAGAGGAGGGAGACAUUGCCAGUUAAUCUCACUGCACUAGAUGUUACUGAGCGUGCAAUGGUUAUGAUGUGUCAAUAACGGUCAGUAAUGGGUGGUAAAACUGAGACCUUGCCUGUGACGUUCUAAUCAGACCAAUAAUUAAGAACUUGGGUUACAUGUCAUGAGUUGUUCUAAAAAAAAUAAUAACUUGGGUGGAAAAUAGGACAAAAAUACACAAACGAUGCUGUUAAAUAUAAUCAGCCUAGAUCAACGGUUUUCACUUGAUGAUAAGCCAUAGCUAAAAAUAAUUGUUACAUUGAGAUCCAGGACACACCUAUACAUACAGAACUGAAAAAUAAGUUUCACAAAACAAUACUUUGCUUGACUACAUAAACUACACCAUUAAAUACUCUUACUCUAUUCCACUUUUCAUUUUUAAAAAUUUAUUUCACAACUUGUUAAUGAGCUAAACUCAGAGUUCGAAAAAUUCUUGUCUAGGUGAGUGCAGAGGUUCCCUCCAGCUCUGGCAUAUUAUGAUGAUACAUGAAUAAAUUUGAAAUGUGGCAUGAUUUCCUCAGGCACAGAGUCUACUCUCAGCAUUGACACAAGAGUGUCACACUUCAAUAUAUUUUUAUUCAACCUAUGGUGAAUGUUAAACGUAAACACCUCAACAGAGAAAACGGACCACAUUUUGAUGGGAACCAUACAAAAAAUGACACUGCAGGAGGUUCUGAAACUUUUUGCCUGGGAAUGAUUCCUGGUCCUGUUACUUACUAGCUGUGUGCCCCCAGACAUGUUACUUAACAUCUCUGAGCGUCAAUAUCUUGGUCUCUAAAAUAGGGAUCAUACUAGGAACUUCACAUAGGCUUGGGGGAGUUGAAUCAGUUAAUACUUGCAAAGUGAUUCAAUAAUCCUGGCACAUAGUAAACUCUUAAUAUAUAUUAACUAUUGUGGUAGAUUAAUUGUUAUUCAGCAAACAUUAUACUUCCCCCACCUUGGCCCCCUCUGUUGAUGUUGGGCUUGGUCCUGUGACUUGCUUUCACCAAUGGAGUAUGGCAGAAGUGACUGUGUGCCUGUUCCAAGCCAAGACUUUUAAAGACAUUGUGUGUUUCUGCUUGCUACCUCCAGCUCAUGCCACAGGAAGAAAAUGCUGUAGGUAGCUCACAGGUCCAAGAAGAAGGGCGCUAGACCUAAACAGAACUCAUGACCAGGAGCCAAGACAGCUAAACUCAGCCUCGUUCAGCCAAGCCCCAACGAAUCCUGCAGAUGUCCUCUAAAUUCCUAUAACGUUGCCUGGAUUUUUUUCUCUUGUACAAUGAACUGGCUUCCCCUAGGAGUCAACAAGUCCCUUUUUUCCUCCUGAAAGGGUAAUCUUCAUUCUCUCUCCUACGGAUGCCCAAGGGGCCAUCACUCCUGUGAUGAAAUGAGGACUGGACUGAAGAUGUUCUGCUGAGCACCCUAAAAUCCCAAAAUGAUGGAUCACUAUCCAGCCAAUAGUGUGAUAAGGACAGUCAUCCAUCCAUUAAUCCACCCAUCCACCCAUCCAUCCAUCCAUCCAUUUACCCAUCCAUCUAUCCAUCCAUCUAUCCAU